This 715-nucleotide ribosomal RNA is filed under the name Escherichia coli. Its description in RNAcentral is "bacterial SSU rRNA". It matches the Rfam family "Bacterial small subunit ribosomal RNA", at positions 20 to 724 of the family's 1533-position model. Lineage: Bacteria; Pseudomonadati; Pseudomonadota; Gammaproteobacteria; Enterobacterales; Enterobacteriaceae. The record is from RNAcentral.
CUGCUCAGAUUGAACGCUGGCGGCAGGCCUAACACAUGCAAGUCGAACGGUAACAGGAAGCAGCUUGCUGCUUCGCUGACGAGUGGCGGACGGGUGAGUAAUGUCUGGGAAACUGCCUGAUGGAGGGGGAUAACUACUGGAAACGGUAGCUAAUACCGCAUAACGUCGCAAGACCAAAGAGGGGGACCUUCGGGCCUCUUGCCAUCGGAUGUGCCCAGAUGGGAUUAGCUAGUAGGUGGGGUAACGGCUCACCUAGGCGACGAUCCCUAGCUGGUCUGAGAGGAUGACCAGCCACACUGGAACUGAGACACGGUCCAGACUCCUACGGGAGGCAGCAGUGGGGAAUAUUGCACAAUGGGCGCAAGCCUGAUGCAGCCAUGCCGCGUGUAUGAAGAAGGCCUUCGGGUUGUAAAGUACUUUCAGCGGGGAGGAAGGGAGUAAAGUUAAUACCUUUGCUCAUUGACGUUACCCGCAGAAGAAGCACCGGCUAACUCCGUGCCAGCAGCCGCGGUAAUACGGAGGGUGCAAGCGUUAAUCGGAAUUACUGGGCGUAAAGCGCACGCAGGCGGUUUGUUAAGUCAGAUGUGAAAUCCCCGGGCUCAACCUGGGAACUGCAUCUGAUACUGGCAAGCUUGAGUCUCGUAGAGGGGGGUAGAAUUCCAGGUGUAGCGGUGAAAUGCGUAGAGAUCUGGAGGAAUACCGGUGGCGAAGGCGG